Small nuclear RNA from Mustela putorius furo (domestic ferret), 108 nucleotides. Lineage: Eukaryota; Metazoa; Chordata; Mammalia; Carnivora; Mustelidae. The record is from Ensembl.
GUACUCACUUUGGUAGCACAUAUACUAAAAUUGGAACAAUACAGAGAAUACUAGUAUGGACCCUGCACAAGGAUGACACACAAUUUGUGAAAUGCUCCACAUGCUUUU